UCAAGUGAAUAAGUGCAUACGGUGGAUGCCUUGGCAGUUAGAGGCGAUGAAAGACGUAAGAGCCUGCGAAAAGCUUCGGGGAGGUGGCAAAUAACCUUUGAUCCGGAGGUGUCUGAAUGGGGAAACCCACUGACCAUAAGGUCGGUAUCACAUUCUGAAUACAUAGGGUGUGAGGCGAACCUGGGGAACUGAAACAUCUAAGUACCCAGAGGAAAAGAAAUCAACCGAGAUUCUGUGAGUAGCGGCGAGCGAAAGCGGAUUAGCCCAAAAGUUUAUUAUGUUGUAGUGGACACUCUGG
RNAcentral lists this ribosomal RNA (298 nucleotides) under Piscirickettsia salmonis. RNAcentral describes it as "partial 23S ribosomal RNA". It matches the Rfam family "Bacterial large subunit ribosomal RNA", at positions 3 to 312 of the family's 2925-position model. Lineage: Bacteria; Pseudomonadati; Pseudomonadota; Gammaproteobacteria; Thiotrichales; Piscirickettsiaceae. The record is from RNAcentral.